RNAcentral lists this ribosomal RNA (322 nucleotides) under uncultured bacterium. RNAcentral's name for it is "bacterial SSU rRNA". It matches the Rfam family "Bacterial small subunit ribosomal RNA", at positions 28 to 334 of the family's 1533-position model. The record is from RNAcentral.
AACGAACGCUGGCGGCGUGGUUUAGGCAUGCAAGUCGAGCGCGAACGAGAACUUCGGCUCUUCAGUAGAGCGGCGAAAGGGUGAGUAAUGCUUGGGCAACUUACCCCUCGGACCGGGAUAGCCACUGGAAACGGUGGGUAAUACCGGAUGGUCUCGCGAGCACUGCGGUGCACGCGAGUAAAGGUGGGGGUCUUCGGACCUCACGCCGAGGGAGAGGCCCGAGUCCUACCAGCUUGUUGGUGAGGUAAUGGCUCACCAAGGCUGAGACGGGUAGCCGGACUGAGAGGUUGGCCGGCCACACUGGCACUGAGACACUGGCCAG